AGAGAAGGAUCUGGGGAGACAUCAUUGCAGCCUUCCGAUGUGCCAGUGCCUCUCUCCUAAUGGUUCUGAGGAUGUCCUCUGCUAACAAAGCAGCUGUGUGCUAGCACUUGGGCUCCAGGUGGUGAGGAUGCCCAAGGCCAAGGAGCACAGCUGAAAGCACAAUAUUUGCUGUCUCCAGAUCUUUGUACCAAGGAUCCUGCUCCAGGGCAGUGCUGUCUGUGUUACUGCUCCCUCUGCAGCUGAACACUGCCAGAAAGCUGUUGCCAGAAGUCUCCCUGCUGCAGCUUUUGACAAGCUCCCUGCACAAGAUUUAGGAUGACCUCUGUCCAGGCCUGCAUACUGCAUCUAAGCCAUCAGUCCUAUCAGAGCACAAACAGCACCAGAUGGAUGUAGAAAACUGCACACACCCCUCAAUACACUUCAGCUCCUCUACCAAACCAACCCACAUUUUUGUUGGCUUUUGGCUUCUUUGCGUAAAAACUGUAAAGUAAGUUUCAUGGGCUAGGGAAAUGCGGAAAGAAAGCACAUAGAACCAGGUACAGUGGAGGCUUAUUAUCAUGGAUUAUCACAAAACUGUGCUCUCAAGUAUUUUAACCAUGAUAAAUGUAUCUGAAACAGAUGGCAAUCGUUUAAAAUUUAACUCAGUCUCAGCCAGCUUGCAACACACAUAUUGUUUCCUAUUGUCAUAUUGUGAUUUAGUGCCUUAUUUUAUUUAUGCAAAAGGGCUGAGUAUGCAUCUUGAAUGGAUUAACUUCACUUCUUACAUAAAGUCACAAAAUUGUCCACAGAGCUAACCUAUACGAAAAUGAAAAUUGUU
Long non-coding RNA from Numida meleagris (helmeted guineafowl), 817 nucleotides. RefSeq lists it as uncharacterized. The record is from RefSeq and is a predicted model, not a curated record. The transcript is spliced from 3 exons. NCBI's taxonomy places the organism in Eukaryota, Metazoa, Chordata, Aves, Galliformes, Numididae.